RNAcentral lists this ribosomal RNA (446 nucleotides) under uncultured bacterium. RNAcentral's name for it is "partial 16S ribosomal RNA". It matches the Rfam family "Bacterial small subunit ribosomal RNA", at positions 338 to 795 of the family's 1533-position model. The record is from RNAcentral.
CCUACGGGGGGCUGCAGUCGAGAAUCAUUCACAAUGGGGGAAACCCUGAUGGUGCGACGCCGCGUGGGGGAAUGAAGGUCUUCGGAUUGUAAACCCCUGUCAUGUGGGAGCAAAUUAAAAAGAUAGUACCACAAGAGGAAGAGACGGCUAACUCUGUGCCAGCAGCCGCGGUAAUACAGAGGUCUCAAGCGUUGUUCGGAAUCACUGGGCGUAAAGCGUGCGUAGGCUGUUUCGUAAGUCGUGUGUGAAAGGCGCGGGCUCAACCCGCGGACGGCACAUGAUACUGGGAGACUAGAGUAAGGGAGGGGGAACCGGAAUUCUCGGUGUAGCAGUGAAAUGCGUAGAUAUCGAGAGGAACACUCGUGGCGAAGGCGGGUUCCUGGACAUUAACUGACGCUGAGGCACGAAGGCCAGGGGAGCGAAAGGGAUUAGAUACCCUGGUAGUC